Molecule: ribosomal RNA, 254 nt
Filed under: uncultured bacterium
Lineage: Bacteria
Description: partial 16S ribosomal RNA
Rfam family: Bacterial small subunit ribosomal RNA
Source: RNAcentral
UGCGUAGGUGGCAAGCGUUGUCCGGAUUUACUGGGCGUAAAGAGCGCGCAGGCGGUCGUUCAAGUCGCGUGUGAAAGCCCCCGGCUCAACUGGGGAGGGUCACGCGAUACUGAUCGACUCGAAGGCAGGAGAGGGUAGUGGAAUUCCCGGUGUAGUGGUGAAAUGCGUAGAUAUCGGGAGGAACACCAGUGGCGAAGGCGACUACCUGGCCUGUUUCUUGACGCUGAGGCGCGAAAGCUAGGGGAGCAAACGGG